AGUUAAUUAGCUUACCUAAGCAUUUGUUUUGAAAACAAAAGAAAGAGAAUUCUCUAUUAACUU
RNAcentral lists this transfer RNA (63 nucleotides) under Chilecicada sp. PL492. RNAcentral's name for it is "tRNA-Ser". The record is from RNAcentral. Lineage: Eukaryota; Metazoa; Arthropoda; Insecta; Hemiptera; Cicadidae.